Molecule: ribosomal RNA, 585 nt
Filed under: uncultured bacterium
Lineage: Bacteria
Description: partial 16S ribosomal RNA
Rfam family: Bacterial small subunit ribosomal RNA
Source: RNAcentral
UGGGGAAUUUUGGACAAUGGGCGAAAGCCUGAUCCAGCAAUGCCGCGUGUGUGAAGAAGGCCUUCGGGUUGUAAAGCACUUUUGUCCGGAAAGAAAUCCUUGGCUCUAAUACAGUCGGGGGAUGACGGUACCGGAAGAAUAAGCACCGGCUAACUACGUGCCAGCAGCCGCGGUAAUACGUAGGGUGCAAGCGUUAAUCGGAAUUACUGGGCGUAAAGCGUGCGCAGGCGGUUUGCUAAGACCGAUGUGAAAUCCCCGGGCUCAACCUGGGAACUGCAUUGGUGACUGGCAGGCUAGAGUAUGGCAGAGGGGGGUAGAAUUCCACGUGUAGCAGUGAAAUGCGUAGAGAUGUGGAGGAAUACCGAUGGCGAAGGCAGCCCCCUGGGCCAAUACUGACGCUCAUGCAUGAAAGCGUGGGGAGCAAACAGGAUUAGAUACCCUGGUAGUCCACGCCCUAAACGAUGUCAACUAGUUGUUGGGGAUUCAUUUCCUUAGUAACGUAGCUAACGCGUGAAGUUGACCGCCUGGGGAGUACGGUCGCAAGAUUAAAACUCAAAUGAAUUGACGGGGUCAUAGCUGUUUCCU